CAGUAGCCGCGUGAAUACGAAGGGUGCAAGCGUUACUCGGAAUUACUGGGCGUAAAGCGUGCGUAGGUGGUGGUUUAAGUCCGUUGUGAAAGCCCUGGGCUCAACCUGGGAAUUGCAGUGGAUACUGGGUCACUAGAGUGUGGUAGAGGAUAGUGGAAUUUCCGGUGUAGCAGUGAAAUGCGUAGAGAUCGGAAGGAACAUCUGUGGCGAAGGCGACUAUCUGGGCCAACACUGACACUGAGGCACGAAAGCGUGGGGAGCAAACAGGAUUAGAUACCCGUGUAGUCCCUGUCUCUUAUAC
RNAcentral lists this ribosomal RNA (301 nucleotides) under uncultured bacterium. RNAcentral's name for it is "partial 16S ribosomal RNA". It matches the Rfam family "Bacterial small subunit ribosomal RNA", at positions 509 to 807 of the family's 1533-position model. The record is from RNAcentral.